GAGGCUGUAGAAUAAAGAGUUCGUUCCCCUGUCAAGGGAAGAGUGUCGUUAGACUGGUCUUU
Molecule: transfer RNA, 62 nt
Filed under: Hydroides norvegica
Lineage: Eukaryota; Metazoa; Annelida; Polychaeta; Sabellida; Serpulidae
Description: tRNA-Asp
Source: RNAcentral